CUUGCAUGAGGGUGUAUUUAAGCACUGCACUUAUAAUUCAUUAAUAUGUUUCUAUUUUUCUAAAUGUUUUUGGGUUUUAUCACCUAAACAUUUGAAUUUUUUCGCUUUGGUUUCUAAUCUGUGGGUCUGCAGGAGUACCUACUAAGUGUUACACCUGCUAUCAAACACUGUUCUGUUCUAGUUUUUAUUUUAGAAGCACCUAAUAUUUUCACACCCUUUCUUUUUUUUUUUUUUUUUUUUUAAAUAUAUUUUAGGAUGGAAAUAGUUAAGGACGGAUCAUUGAGAAAAGCUGGAUUUUAGAUCAGUUUUAGUUAAGAUAAUGGUUGUUUUAGGUAGUUAACAGUUCAUUGGUUUUAAAUCAUUAUUAUGAAAUAAUUUAUACAUAAUAAAUAUGUAUUCAUACUACUGGUAAUUGUCAUCCCAUUGACUUCCUCAGAUCCAUACUUUAAUACCUAUAUUUGAGAUUGACUAUUGUAGAGAUUUUGGUGCAUAGGUACAACCCUUUUUCUUUCACAUUGUAAAACAUUGCUGUUUUUGUCAUCAGACACAGCAAAAUGAUGCCGAAGAAGUAAAUUACAUCUAAUAAACACUGUAUUCAACACUUCUCUAUUGGAAGAUAGGUUUGAAUAAUUUUUGGCACUUGGAGUUGAUAUUGUUAAAAAGUCAUGCUGUAAGAAUUGGAGUUAAAUAAAUCUGAAAAUAUCUUUACAGCCUUGCACUAAAUAUUUAUCGUACUAUUUGAAUGCAGCAAUGAGCAUGUACUCAGCAAUGAGUAAACAGCCAUUAGCUAAAAUGCAAUUGAUUCUCUACAUUAAAUAUAUAUAUGUGU
This is a non-coding RNA of Pelobates cultripes (western spadefoot toad), 829 nucleotides long. The record is from the annotation of a GenBank genome assembly. NCBI's taxonomy places the organism in Eukaryota, Metazoa, Chordata, Amphibia, Anura, Pelobatidae.